AACCGGGAGAGUCGGUUUGGUCCGCGCCGAAGGAGCAACCGCCCCGGUCACUCUCAGGCAAAUGGACCGGUU
Molecule: non-coding RNA, 72 nt
Filed under: uncultured Yoonia sp.
Lineage: Bacteria; Pseudomonadati; Pseudomonadota; Alphaproteobacteria; Rhodobacterales; Paracoccaceae
Description: Glycine riboswitch
Rfam family: Glycine riboswitch aptamer
About the family: This family represents the bacterial glycine riboswitch. Glycine riboswitches usually consist of two metabolite-binding aptamers domains with similar structures in tandem.
Source: RNAcentral